UACAGAGGUCCCAAGCGUUGUUCGGAUUCACUGGGCGUAAAGGGUGCGUAGGUGGUGGGGUAAGUCGGAUGUGAAAGCUCGGAGCUCAACUCCGAAAUGGCAUUGGAAACUACCCUGCUAGAGGAUUGGAGGGGGGACUGGAAUACUUGGUGUAGCAGUGAAAUGCGUAGAUAUCAAGUGGAACACCAGUGGCGAAGGCGGAUCUCUGGGCCUUACCUGACGCUGAGGCGCGAAAGCUAGGGGAGCGAACAGG
RNAcentral lists this ribosomal RNA (253 nucleotides) under uncultured bacterium. RNAcentral describes it as "partial 16S ribosomal RNA". It matches the Rfam family "Bacterial small subunit ribosomal RNA", at positions 524 to 776 of the family's 1533-position model. The record is from RNAcentral.